Long non-coding RNA from Centruroides sculpturatus (bark scorpion), 651 nucleotides. RefSeq lists it as uncharacterized. NCBI's taxonomy places the organism in Eukaryota, Metazoa, Arthropoda, Arachnida, Scorpiones, Buthidae. The transcript has 4 exons. The record is from RefSeq and is a predicted model, not a curated record.
UUAAACUAUAAAACCAAAUUUAUUAAAAAUAAACAAAAUUAAAAGAAAGAGAGAAAGAGAGAGCGAGAGACUUUCGAUUUGUAUUGACGUCAGGGGGAGAUGCUAAACUUCAAAGUUUGCUAUAAAAGUGCGGGUGUACCACUUUUUCCCGGGAAGGCACUGGCUGUCAAGUAUCUACGAUUUACCCGGCGAUAUAAGCUUACCGAGUUCGGAGGCUCUUUUAAGGCAUUAUCGGUUACAAGUUGAAGAUGUGGGCGUUAUUUCCAUGAGGGAAAGCUGACAAUAUGGAUAUUAUUCAAUUGAAAGCUAACGUGUCGAUAAAAACUGAAGGAAAUGAAAGCGUAUAUUAUAAAGUAGAUGGUCAGCGUUUUGGAGCCGACUGUACUCUGAAAUUAGUUGUUGAUACUAAUUAUGUUUUUAUUUUUGACUUUCAACCUGCCGUAUACAUAAGGCUUUGAGCAGACCACGUUAUAUUGAAUCAACGUUAAGCAAAGCAGCAGCGUUAAGCGUGGUCUUACUGUAUAUAUGUAAGUAAAAUAAAAUACUUAUUAAAAUGUUUGACAAUGUUUAUUACUUAAAGUAGAUUAAAUUAAAUGUCUAGAGAAAGAUGAUCAUGAAUGAAAGUGUCCAAAAAUAAAAAAAAAAUAAUUA